Molecule: ribosomal RNA, 511 nt
Filed under: uncultured bacterium
Lineage: Bacteria
Description: bacterial SSU rRNA
Rfam family: Bacterial small subunit ribosomal RNA
Source: RNAcentral
UUUCCAGAGAUGGAUUGGUGCCUUCGGGAACUCUGAGACAGGUGCUGCAUGGCUGUCGUCAGCUCGUGUUGUGAAAUGUUGGUUAAGUCCCGCAACGAGCGCAACCCUUAUCCUUUGUUGCCAGCGAUUCGGUCGGGAACUCAAAGGAGACUGCCAGUGAUAAACUGGAGGAAGGUGGGGAUGACGUCAAGUCAUCAUGGCCCUUACGAGUAGGGCUACACACGUGCUACAAUGGCGCAUACAAAGAGAAGCGACCUCGCGAGAGCAAGCGGACCUCAUAAAGUGCGUCGUAGUCCGGAUUGGAGUCUGCAACUCGACUCCAUGAAGUCGGAAUCGCUAGUAAUCGUAGAUCAGAAUGCUACGGUGAAUACGUUCCCGGGCCUUGUACACACCGCCCGUCACACCAUGGGAGUGGGUUGCAAAAGAAGUAGGUAGCUUAACCUUCGGGAGGGCGCUUACCACUUUGUGAUUCAUGACUGGGGUGAAGUCGUAACAAGGUAGGCGUAGUGCU